RNAcentral lists this ribosomal RNA (479 nucleotides) under uncultured bacterium. RNAcentral describes it as "partial 16S ribosomal RNA". It matches the Rfam family "Bacterial small subunit ribosomal RNA", at positions 28 to 507 of the family's 1533-position model. The record is from RNAcentral.
GAUGAACGCUAGCGGGAGGCCUAACACAUGCAAGCCGAGCGGUAGAGUCUCUUCGGAGACUUGAGAGCGGCGCACGGGUGCGGAACACGUGUGCAACCUGCCUUUAUCUGGGGGAUAGCCUUUCGAAGGGAAGAUUAAUACCCCAUAAUAUACUGGAUGGCAUCAUCUGGUAUUGAAAACUCCGGUGGAUAGAGAUGGGCACGCGCAAGAUUAGAUAGUUGGUGAGGUAACGGCUCACCAAGUCAGCGAUCUUUAGGGGGCCUGAGAGGGUGAUCCCCCACACUGGUACUGAGACACGGACCAGACUCCUACGGGAGGCAGCAGUGAGGAAUAUUGGACAAUGGGUGAGAGCCUGAUCCAGCCAUCCCGCGUGAAGGACGACGGCCCUAUGGGUUGUAAACUUCUUUUGUAUAGGGAUAAACCUAGAUACGUGUAUCUAGCUGAAGGUACUACACGAAUAAGCACCGGCUAACUCCGUG